Molecule: ribosomal RNA, 468 nt
Filed under: uncultured bacterium
Lineage: Bacteria
Description: partial 16S ribosomal RNA
Rfam family: Bacterial small subunit ribosomal RNA
Source: RNAcentral
GACGAACGCUGGCGGCGUGCUUAACACAUGCAAGUCGAACGGAAAGGCCCUGCUUUUGUGGGGUGCUCGAGUGGCGAACGGGUGAGUAACACGUGAGUAACCUGCCCUUGACUUUGGGAUAACUUCAGGAAACUGGGGCUAAUACCGGAUAGGAGCUCCUGCUGCAUGGUGGGGGUUGGAAAGUUUCGGCGGUUGGGUAUGGACUCGCGGCUUAUCAGCUUGUUGGUGGGGUAGUGGCUUACCAAGGCUUUGACGGGUAGCCGGCCUGAGAGGGUGACCGGCCACAUUGGGACUGAGAUACGGCCCAGACUCCUACGGGAGGCAGCAGUGGGGAAUAUUGCACAAUGGGCGGAAGCCUUAUGCAGCAACGCCGCGUGCGGGAUGACGGCCUUCGGGUUGUAACCCGCUUUCGCCUGUGACGAAGCGUGAGUGACGGUAAUGUGUAAAGAAGCACCGGCUAACUACGUG